Long non-coding RNA from Ctenopharyngodon idella (grass carp), 537 nucleotides. RefSeq lists it as uncharacterized. The record is from RefSeq and is a predicted model, not a curated record. Lineage: Eukaryota; Metazoa; Chordata; Actinopteri; Cypriniformes; Xenocyprididae. The transcript is spliced from 3 exons.
UUGAUUUCAGAGCUUCAGUCAGUGACGUCACAUCUUUAUGUGUAACAUUACAGUUGGACAACCUGAAGAGAGUAGCGUGGAUUUGUAAGCACAGGUCAGGUAGUUUGCUAUUAUGUUUUAGUUUAACAGUUGAUUGAGUCAGGUUUGAAUUUGACUUUUACCUCAGCUUCUCUAGUUUACAGUGAGGAUUCUGCAGUCCAACGCAGAGUUUCUUCACACCUGAGUCUUGUAGAUCAUUAAUACUCAGAUCCAGAUCUGUCAGAUUGGAGGUCUUUGAGCUCAGGUCCAGCACUUUCAGAUGAGAAGGAUUUAAACUCAGAGCUGAGCUCAGGAAAACACAGCCUGCUUCUGUUACACCACAGUUCUUCAGACUAUGGUGAGAAGAGAGAUUGAUGUUCUUCAAGCACAUUUUUGCCACUGUUGUGGAAGGAGAGAUGCACAUAUAGAGCUGCUAGAUGUUCCUGAAUGCUCAGAUGAACAAAGCAGAAGACUUUCCCCUGAUACCAACCAAACUCCUCUCUGAAGAUCUGAGUGCAC